AGAGUUUGAUCAUGGCUCAGGAUGAACGCUAGCGGCAGGCUUAAUACAUGCAAGUCGAACGGUGGCAACACAGUGGCGGACGGGUGCGUAACACGUAUGUAAUCUACCCGGGACUGGGGAAUAACGGUUAGAAAUAAUCGCUAAUACCGCAUAAUGCAGCGGCAGCAAAAGCUGACAGUUGUUAAAGAUUUAUCGGUUCCGGAUGAGCGUGCGUUGGAUUAGGUAGUUGGUAGGGUAAUGGCCUACCAAGCCAGUGAUCCAUAGCUGGUCUGAGAGGAUGAUCAGCCACAUUGGGACUGAGACACGGCCCAAACUCCUACGGGAGGCAGCAGGCGGGCAUAUUGGUCAAUGGGCGUAAGCCUGAACCAGCCAUGCCGCGUGAACGCUGAAGGAGCAUUGCUUUGUAAAGUUCUUUUGCACAAGGAUAAAAGAAUGGUCGCCAUUCUGUGAAUUUAUUGGGUGAAUAAGCAUCGGCCAACUACGUGCCAGCAGCCGCGGUAAUAC
Molecule: ribosomal RNA, 504 nt
Filed under: uncultured bacterium
Lineage: Bacteria
Description: bacterial SSU rRNA
Rfam family: Bacterial small subunit ribosomal RNA
Source: RNAcentral